This 72-nucleotide transfer RNA is filed under the name Bos taurus (domestic cattle). It matches the Rfam family "tRNA". Rfam says of the family: Transfer RNA (tRNA) molecules are approximately 80 nucleotides in length. Their secondary structure includes four short double-helical elements and three loops (D, anti-codon, and T loops). Lineage: Eukaryota; Metazoa; Chordata; Mammalia; Artiodactyla; Bovidae. The record is from Rfam by way of RNAcentral. RNAcentral also lists the same sequence under 4 other names.
UCCCUAGUGGCUCAGACAGUAAAGAAUCUGCCUGCAAAGCAGGAUACCCAGGUUCAAUCCUUGGCUCAAGAA